This 201-nucleotide unclassified non-coding RNA is filed under the name Scedosporium apiospermum. RNAcentral's name for it is "internal transcribed 2". Lineage: Eukaryota; Fungi; Ascomycota; Sordariomycetes; Microascales; Microascaceae. The record is from RNAcentral.
UCAACCCUCGAACCUCCGUUUCCUCAGGGAAGCCCAGGGUCGGUGUUGGGGCGCUACGGCGAGUCCUCGCGACCCCCGUAGGCCCUGAAAUACAGUGGCGGUCCCGCCGCGGUUGCCUUCUGCGUAGUAAGUCUCUUUUGCAAGCUCGCAUUGGGUCCCGGCGGAGGCCUGCCGUCAAACCACCUAACAACUCCAGAUGGU